AUUUUCCCUAAUUUGUUUAUAAACACUAAUUUUUUCUACUCGAACCUCGUUUAUCUCCGCUUUUUUAAAACAACUCUCAGUUUAAUUUUGUUUUCUACUCUAUUCUUACUAAGUGUUUCCGGUUAUUGCAAAUUUCAGAUGGCUACUACCCUUUCAAAUUAGGGUUUCUGACCCCCUUCUUCAAAAUUGUUUCGUCUGCUCUUUCUGAGUACUAUAUUUUCGUUUGUGUUUAUUUGCUUACUUGUUUGUUCGGUGUCCUUGUUAACCUGGGUCCAUGCUUUAAUUUUUAUUGCUAGGGUUUCCGACCCCCUAUUAAGAUCACUACAUCUUCUGCUUCCUUUGAGUAUUAUGUAUGCAUACGAUUGUUUUUGGGAUGAGCAUGUUUGUUUCGGAGUUCCAUGCUUUAAACUCUUUUACUGGGGUUCCAACCCUCUACGCUUCUAUGAUUUCUUGCACAGUGUUCUCUGCUUUUUCACGCCUAUUGUGUUUAUUGGUCUAAUCGUUAUUCGAAUGAUUCUAUGCAAUCCCUAAUAUGUAUGCGUUUUUCUUAACGGUUCUUACACUGAUUUCUUAAAUUAUUUCCUUGCUUAUGAAAUGCUCUCUAUAUUAGCACUGAUUCCCUUUGAUUUUUAGUCUCA
RNAcentral lists this long non-coding RNA (638 nucleotides) under Nicotiana benthamiana. RNAcentral's name for it is "long non-coding RNA (NBEN_LNC002512)". The record is from RNAcentral. Lineage: Eukaryota; Viridiplantae; Streptophyta; Magnoliopsida; Solanales; Solanaceae.